RNAcentral lists this ribosomal RNA (463 nucleotides) under Vreelandella stevensii. RNAcentral describes it as "partial 16S ribosomal RNA". It matches the Rfam family "Bacterial small subunit ribosomal RNA", at positions 339 to 794 of the family's 1533-position model. Lineage: Bacteria; Pseudomonadati; Pseudomonadota; Gammaproteobacteria; Oceanospirillales; Halomonadaceae. The record is from RNAcentral.
CUACGGGAGGCAGCAGUGGGGAAUAUUGGACAAUGGGCGAAAGCCUGAUCCAGCCAUGCCGCGUGUGUGAAGAAGGCCUUCGGGUUGUAAAGCACUUUCAGUGGGGAAGAAAGCCUUGGGGCUAAUACCCUCGAGGAAGGACAUCACCCACAGAAGAAGCACCGGCUAACUCCGUGCCAGCAGCCGCGGUAAUACGGAGGGUGCGAGCGUUAAUCGGAAUUACUGGGCGUAAAGCGCGCGUAGGCGGUCUGAUAAGCCGGUUGUGAAAGCCCCGGGCUCAACCUGGGAACGGCAUCCGGAACUGUCAGGCUAGAGUGCAGGAGAGGAAGGUAGAAUUCCCGGUGUAGCGGUGAAAUGCGUAGAGAUCGGGAGGAAUACCAGUGGCGAAGGCGGCCUUCUGGACUGACACUGACGCUGAGGUGCGAAAGCGUGGGUAGCAAACAGGAUUAGAUACCCUGGUAUC